GACAAAGGAUGCAAGCGUUAUCCGGAAUGAUUGGGCGUAAAGCGUAUGUAGGUGGCUUUUUAAGUCCGCCGUCAAAUCCCAGGGCUCAACCCUGGACAGGCGGUGGAAAGUACCAAGCUGGAGUACGGUAGGGGCAGAGGGAAUUUCCGGUGGAGCGGUAAAAUGCGUAGAGAUCGGAAAGAACACCAACAGCGAAAGCACUCUGCUGGGCCGACACUGACACUGAGAGACGAAAGCUAGGGGAGCGAAUGGG
Molecule: ribosomal RNA, 253 nt
Filed under: uncultured bacterium
Lineage: Bacteria
Description: partial 16S ribosomal RNA
Rfam family: Bacterial small subunit ribosomal RNA
Source: RNAcentral